RNAcentral lists this ribosomal RNA (451 nucleotides) under uncultured bacterium. RNAcentral describes it as "bacterial SSU rRNA". It matches the Rfam family "Bacterial small subunit ribosomal RNA", at positions 29 to 524 of the family's 1533-position model. The record is from RNAcentral.
AACGAACGCUGGCGGCAUGCCUAACACAUGCAAGUCGAACGAAGUCUUCGGACUUAGUGGCGCACGGGUGCGUAACGCGUGGGAAUCUGCCCUUGGGUGCGGAAUAACUUCUCGAAAGGGAUGCUAAUACCGCAUAAUGUCGUAAGACCAAAGAUUUAUCGCCCAAGGAUGAGCCCGCGUAAGAUUAGCUAGUUGGUGGGGUAAAAGCCUACCAAGGCGACGAUCUUUAGCUGGUCUGAGAGGAUGAUCAGCCACACUGGGACUGAGACACGGCCCAGACUCCUACGGGAGGCAGCAGCGGGGAAUAUUGGGCAAUGGAGGAAACUCUGACCCAGCCAUGCCGCGUGAAUGAUGAAGGCCUUAGGGUUGUAAAGUUCUUUCGCCGAUGAAGAUAAUGACGGUAGUCGGAGAAGAAGCCCCCGGCUAACUUCGUGCCAGCAGCCGCGGUAAU